UGGUGGAGCGAUCUGUCUGAUUAAUUUCGUUAACGAACGAGACCUCGACCUGCUAAAUAGUUCGGCGUAGGAUUCUUCCUAUGCACGUGGCUUCUUAGAGGGACUGUGGGUUCAAGCCCAAGGAAGUUCGAGGCAAUAACA
RNAcentral lists this ribosomal RNA (141 nucleotides) under uncultured eukaryote. RNAcentral's name for it is "partial 18S ribosomal RNA". It matches the Rfam family "Eukaryotic small subunit ribosomal RNA", at positions 1299 to 1458 of the family's 1831-position model. The record is from RNAcentral.